Molecule: long non-coding RNA, 556 nt
Filed under: Brassica rapa (field mustard)
Lineage: Eukaryota; Viridiplantae; Streptophyta; Magnoliopsida; Brassicales; Brassicaceae
Description: long non-coding RNA (BRAP_LNC001274)
Source: RNAcentral
UAGUUUCUCUCUCUCUAACUUUCUCUCUUAAGUCAAAGUCUGCUUCCAUUGCAGGAUCAGUGACCAAGAUUGGACAGGCUUCCAUGAAUCAAAACUUAAUGGUGGUUGCCACCAAGCUCUGUUCACUUCUUUUUGACCUAUAUCCAAGAGUUCUUCGUGAAAGUGAGCCUUGAAGAUUGUCGCCUCCAAGUCCCGUUUCGAACUAUUUUAUUGGAGUCUUUAUGAAUCAAGCCUUAAUGGUUUUAGCCACCAAGUCCUGUUCAGACUCAUCCAAAGUAAACAAUAGAUCUUAUUUAUUAUUAUUAUUAUUAUUAUUAUUAUUAUUAUUAUUAUUAUUAUUAUUAUUAUUAUUAUUAUUAUUAUUAUUAUUAUUAUUAUUAUUAUUAUUAUUAUUAUUUUUUUUUUUUUUUUUUUUAAUAUAUAUACUAACUAUUCUAGGGUCGAAAUUUAGAAAGAGAAAAUGUGAUAAAUAAUCUACACCAGGCGUUACCUUCCAGACUUGUCUGAAGAAUCCGAUCCCAUGUAUACCAAGCCCCAAGAUAAGCGGUUAUGUCAG